GGGGUUUUUAAUUCACUCUCUAAUCUAGCCAACUCUUUCUGCAAAUGCUUCACCAAUGCCUUGUCAGACAUCACAACAUUGACUUGUGCAUUAGUGGUCACUUCUUUGGCACAACAGGCAAAUAGAAGUGUAUUUCUAGAUUGUUCUACAUGGCUUCGAGCAGGACUCAGGGUGCAGAUUAUGCCAGUUCUUGCAUUGCCCCCCAAAGCAGGUUGAAGGA
This 220-nucleotide unclassified non-coding RNA is filed under the name Hevea brasiliensis (rubber tree). The record is from RNAcentral. Lineage: Eukaryota; Viridiplantae; Streptophyta; Magnoliopsida; Malpighiales; Euphorbiaceae.